GUGCUCGCUUUGGCAGCACACAGACUAAAAUCGGAAGGAUACAGAGAAGGUUAGCAUGGCCCUGCACAAGGAUGACACGCAAAUUCGAGAAUUGUUCCAUUUUUUG
This 106-nucleotide small nuclear RNA is filed under the name Peromyscus maniculatus bairdii (prairie deer mouse). The record is from RNAcentral. Lineage: Eukaryota; Metazoa; Chordata; Mammalia; Rodentia; Cricetidae.